This 583-nucleotide unclassified non-coding RNA is filed under the name Microcoleus sp. ACSSI 305. RNAcentral describes it as "partial contains 16S ribosomal RNA and 16S-23S ribosomal RNA intergenic spacer". The stretch from base 1 to 202 matches the Rfam family "Bacterial small subunit ribosomal RNA", at positions 1334 to 1533 of the family's 1533-position model. Lineage: Bacteria; Bacillati; Cyanobacteriota; Cyanophyceae; Oscillatoriales; Microcoleaceae. The record is from RNAcentral.
GCUAGUAAUUGCAGGUCAGCAUACUGCAGUGAAUUCGUUCCCGGGCCUUGUACACACCGCCCGUCACACCAUGGGAGCUGGUUUUGCCCGAAGUCGUUACCCUAACCGCUUGCGGAGGGGGACGCCGAAGGCAGGGCUGGUGACUGGGGUGAAGUCGUAACAAGGUAGCCGUACCGGAAGGUGUGGCUGGAUCACCUCCUUUUAAGGGAGACCAACUUCCUGCUCAUACCUGUGUCCAAUGUGAAUCAGGUCAACAGUGAAGCUAUCCCUGGUCGGUCGAGAUUGGUGAAAAAGGCUUUCAAACUAUAUUGGGUUCGGCAAUUCACAUGACACCCUCUUUCGCAUGAGGCGUAGUCAACAGAAACAUACGACAACUCAUGGAUAGAAGAAUUCAGCAAUCUUGCUUGAUAAUCUGGCAAGCCUGCUGGACUCUAGUCCAGUCAGAACCUUGAAAACUGCAUAGCAAUAAGUCAGGUAGAAACUGUCAUUGGCCAAGAAUCAGAGGUCAGUAGCUUUCUUGCUAUUGUGCCCACUGAAGUUUUGACGAACUGACAGAAGAUAUCACAGACAUCAAUAUCAAGUU